RNAcentral lists this long non-coding RNA (332 nucleotides) under Eutrema salsugineum. RNAcentral describes it as "long non-coding RNA (ESAL_LNC000294)". The record is from RNAcentral. Lineage: Eukaryota; Viridiplantae; Streptophyta; Magnoliopsida; Brassicales; Brassicaceae.
UAGCAAGAGAGUUCCGAAGCUGCUGUAAACGAGCACCACUCUUCACCGAAAAACGCUUUUUAAUGAUAUCUCACAGAUCUUUCGCGACCUCACGAGUGGAGAUGGAGGAGCGAAGCCUGGGUUCGAUCGUCAACUUGAUCCAACCGACGAGCAGAUGAUUGUUUGCUGUCCAAUCCUCGAGAGUUGCAUCACCAUCCUUUGGUUUCGGAAUACUCCCAUCCAAAAAACCAAACUUCUUUCUGGAGCUCAGCGCCAUUCGCAGAUUACGAGCCCACUCAUCGUAAUUCAAACCGUUGAGAAGCGGCUGUGAAAUUACAGCACCAGGGUUAUCC